CGAGGUGCAGAGUUCCUCCGGGGAAAAGCCCCGCGGCGCCUGAGGGUGUCUGCUCUCAACUGGACCCACGGAUCAAUCUCCCUUGUCACAGAGACUGUGACAAGGACAAUUAGAUGCAGGCAGCUACUUACCAUGAAACUACCUUGUGGAGGAGGAUGAUUACUCCCUUAAACCCCUUCUAAAAGGUCUAUGAAGAGGAAGAAGAAAAAAGACCUUUUGUACUGUAUGAGCUUUUAAAAAAAUAGGAUUUUCACAGGGAUGCACAGCACCAGUUGUGUGAAUUGGGGUACACUGGCCAUAUUUUGCAUAAUGCAUUUGUGAACAUUGUUUUGUUGCCAGCUGAGAGGAUCACCAUGGGAAACAAAGAACAAACCCUUCUGGAAUACAGCUACUCAUUUUGAAAUAAAAGCUGAUUAUUCCUUUCUUGCAUGACAACCUCUCCAAAAGCACCUUUUACUAUAC
Vidua chalybeata is the source of this 462-nucleotide long non-coding RNA. RefSeq lists it as uncharacterized. NCBI's taxonomy places the organism in Eukaryota, Metazoa, Chordata, Aves, Passeriformes, Viduidae. The transcript is spliced from 3 exons. The record is from RefSeq and is a predicted model, not a curated record.